This 207-nucleotide long non-coding RNA is filed under the name Trifolium pratense (red clover). RNAcentral's name for it is "long non-coding RNA (TPRA_LNC004681)". The record is from RNAcentral. Lineage: Eukaryota; Viridiplantae; Streptophyta; Magnoliopsida; Fabales; Fabaceae.
AGCUAACUAACUAACUAACUGUAUUAAGCUAAUUAGUUCAUACUUAUUCAGUCUUCAUUUUGUCAUAGAUGAUGAACAGAAAAACAACAACAAUAAUAAUAAGAGGUAUAUGUAAUUAACCUGAGUAUUCUCAACUGAUUCAGAUGUCAUUGGUAUAUUAUUUAUCCUGUUAUGGUUGCGGUAUCUUUCAAUUGUUUCUGGAGUGCU